Molecule: ribosomal RNA, 468 nt
Filed under: uncultured bacterium
Lineage: Bacteria
Description: partial 16S ribosomal RNA
Rfam family: Bacterial small subunit ribosomal RNA
Source: RNAcentral
GACGAACGCUGGCGGCGUGCUUAACACAUGCAAGUCGAACGGAAAGGCCCUGCCUUUGUGGGGUGCUCGAGUGGCGAACGGGUGAGUAACACGUGAGUAACCUGCCCUUGACUUUGGGAUAACUUCAGGAAACUGGGGCUAAUACCGGAUAGGAGCUCCUGCUGCAUGGUGGGGGAUGGAAAGUUUCGGCGGUUGGGGCUGGACUCGCGGCUUAUCAGCUUGUUGGUGGGGUAGUGGCUUACCAAGGCUUUGAAGGGUAGCCGGCCUGAGAGGGGGACCGGCCACAUUGGGACUGCGAUACGGCCCAGACGCCUACGGGAGGCAGCAGUGGGGAAUAUUGCACAAUGGGCGGAAGCCUGAUGCAGCAACGCCGCGUGCGGGAUGACGGCCUUCGGGUGGUAAACCGCUGUCGCCUGUGACGAAGCGUGAGUGACGGUAAUGGGUAAAGAAGCACCGGCUAACUACGUG